GGGUGCGAUCAUACUAGCACUACAACACCGAAUUCC
RNAcentral lists this ribosomal RNA (36 nucleotides) under Prospero obtusifolium. Lineage: Eukaryota; Viridiplantae; Streptophyta; Magnoliopsida; Asparagales; Asparagaceae. The record is from RNAcentral.